Molecule: long non-coding RNA, 1480 nt
Filed under: Equus caballus (horse)
Lineage: Eukaryota; Metazoa; Chordata; Mammalia; Perissodactyla; Equidae
Description: lncRNA (ENSECAG00000056843.1)
Source: RNAcentral
GGUAAAAGUGAUGAUAUGCCACUUCCGUGAUUAGAUUGUAAAGACUGACUUCCAUCACCAGCACUCUGUCUCUCUGGUGCCGUGUGUGCACUUGCUCUAAUGAGGCAAGCUGGAGGGACCCACAUGGCAGGGAACUGACGGCAGCCCCUGGCCCCCCCACCAGUAAGGAACUGAGACUCAGAGUCCAACAGCCUUGAGGAACUGAAUCCUGUCAACAACCACAGAAGAUAGCUUGGAAGAAGAUUCUUCCCCAGUCGAGACUAUAGAACACAGCCUCAGAAAAAUCCUUAAUUCAAGCCUUUUUGAGAGAUCCCAAAGCAGAAGCCUGAGCUUUGCCAUGCCCAGAUUCCUGACUCACAGAAACUGGGUGAUAAUAACUACGUGGUUGUUGUACAUCAUUAAAUUUUUGGGUAAUUUGUUACACAGCAAUAAAUAACUAGAAAUGCUCACACAAUAUACUCAGUUGGCAGCUGGGAGCAGGGGCUCUGCUCCAUGCAGUCAUUCAGGAACCUGGACUGAUGGAAACUCUGUUGUCUCCAUCAAAUGGCUUCAGUGUUUCCUUGGGUGUCGAAAUCCAGCCAGCAGACGGAGGAAGAGCAACAGUGGAGGAGUGCAGGUGUAAGCUCCAUGAAGGCAGGGACCAUGUUGGUCCUGUUCACCACUACGUUCUUACACCUAACUGGCACCCGACACUGCUGCUGAGUAAAUGAAUAACAAGUGCUUUCAAGAGUGAGGCAACACAUUUCCUGAGAAUUAACUGAUGUAACCAGUCUUCACCAUCAGCAUGUUGAUGCCCAACUAGGGAGGACAUUUGCCAGCCCCGCUUGAAUAUAGAGGUGUUGGGAGUCUUUGCCCGGGCAGAGAAGUCAGCAAGAUUUGCUCAGUCCCAGGACUUCUACAGCAGCAUAGAGAAAUGCCACGCUAUCUCAAUUAAGCACCAGUGGAGGCCGUGGUAGCUCCUUCAGUACAAAAGCAGUGGCUUCUGUUGUGGGUCCUUCUAGUUGUGGCAUGCGGGAUGCCUCCUCAGCAUGGCUUGAUGAGCGGUGCCAUAUCCACGUCCAGGAUCCGAACCAGUGAAACCCUGGGCCACCGAAGCACAGCACACCAACUUAACCACUCGGCCAUGGGGCUGGCCUCUAAGUAUAUUCCUAAUAAAUAGUAUUUCAGGACAAUCACGGAAGGAAGCGUAAGGAGGAGCAGAGGGAGAGAAACGCAGCAGAACCUGGUUGCUCUAGAAACAAACUAAGCCACUUUAACCGUGAGAACUUUAGAGUUUAGAUACUUGAGGCAAGAGUGAGAAGGGAAAAAAUGGUCAUCAAGAGGCAAUUAUCACUUUAAAAUGUAGUGAAUAUCAGCUGAAACAAAAGGAAUUGAGGGUUGUGUAUCACUGUAACUGCAGUGAGUUCUUGUUAUUGAGGAAUGAUUUACUUUCUUAAUAUUAACUACAUAUUAAUAUAUAUACAAAACGUGUAUCUCUUGG